RNAcentral lists this ribosomal RNA (399 nucleotides) under uncultured bacterium. RNAcentral's name for it is "bacterial SSU rRNA". It matches the Rfam family "Bacterial small subunit ribosomal RNA", at positions 28 to 418 of the family's 1533-position model. The record is from RNAcentral.
GAUGAACGCUAGCGACAGGCUUAACACAUGCAAGUCGAGGGGCAGCGAGGGCGUAGCAAUACGCCUGUCGGCGACCGGCGCACUGGUGAGUAACACGUAUGCGACCUGCCCCCUACAGGGGUAUAACCCGUAGAAAUGCGGACUAAUCCCCCAUAGUCCUGGAGGCUGCAUGGCAUUCAGGGGAAAGGUCAGCCGGCAGGGGAUGGGCAUGCGGCGCAUUAGCUAGUUGGCGGGGCAACGGCCCACCAAGGCGACGAUGCGUAGGGGUUCGUGAGAGGAAGGUCCCCACACUGGUACUGAGACACGGACCAGACUCCUACGGAGGCAGCAGUGAGGAAUAUUGGUCAAUAGGGCGGCAGGCCUGAACCAAGCCAAGUACGCGUGAGGGAAGGACGGUCC